This 492-nucleotide ribosomal RNA is filed under the name uncultured bacterium. RNAcentral's name for it is "partial 16S ribosomal RNA". It matches the Rfam family "Bacterial small subunit ribosomal RNA", at positions 29 to 507 of the family's 1533-position model. The record is from RNAcentral.
AGUGAACGCUGGCGGUAGGCCUAACACAUGCAAGUCGAACGGCAGCACAGUAAGAGCUUGCUCUUACGGGUGGCGAGUGGCGGACGGGUGAGGAAUACAUCGGAAUCUACUUUUUCGUGGGGGAUAACGUAGGGAAACUUACGCUAAUACCGCAUACGACCUUCGGGUGAAAGCAUGGGAUCUUCGGACCUUGCGCGAUUGAAUGAGCCGAUGUCGGAUUAGCUAGUUGGCGGGGUAAAGGCCCACCAAGGCGACGAUCCGUAGCUGGUCUGAGAGGAUGAUCAGCCACACUGGAACUGAGACACGGUCCAGACUCCUACGGGAGGCAGCAGUGGGGAAUAUUGGACAAUGGGCGCAAGCCUGAUCCAGCAAUACCGCGUGGGUGAAGAAGGCCUUCGGGUUGUAAAGCCCUUUUGUUGGGAAAGAAAAGCAGCAGGUUAAUACCCCGCUGUUCUGACGGUACCCAAAGAAUAAGCACCGGCUAACUUCGUG